This 489-nucleotide ribosomal RNA is filed under the name uncultured bacterium. Its description in RNAcentral is "partial 16S ribosomal RNA". It matches the Rfam family "Bacterial small subunit ribosomal RNA", at positions 29 to 506 of the family's 1533-position model. The record is from RNAcentral.
AUUGAACGCUGGCGGCAGGCCUAACACAUGCAAGUCGAACGGUAACAGGAAGAAGCUUGCUUCUUUGCUGACGAGUGGCGGACGGGUGAGUAAUGUCUGGGAAACUGCCUGAUGGAGGGGGAUAACUACUGGAAACGGUAGCUAAUACCGCAUAACGUCGCAAGACCAAAGAGGGGGACCUUCGGGCCUCUUGCCAUCGGAUGUGCCCAGAUGGGAUUAGCUAGUAGGUGGGGUAACGGCUCACCUAGGCGACGAUCCCUAGCUGGCCUGAGAGGAUGACCAGCCACCGUGGAAAUGAGAAGCGGACAAGGCCCCCAGGGGAGGCAGCAGGGGGGAAUAUUGCACAAGGGGGGAAAGCCUAUGGCACCCACGCCGGGGGUAAGAAGAAGGCUUGGGGGUUUUAAAUUAUUUUGAGCGGGGGGGAAGGGAGUAAAAUUAAAACCUUUGCCCAUUGACUUUACCCGCAGAAGAAGCACCGGCUAACCCCGG